AUUGAACGCUGGCGGCAGGCCUAACACAUGCAAGUCGAGCGGAUGAAAGGGGCUUGCUCCUGGAUUCAGCGGCGGACGGGUGAGUAAUACGCAGGAAUCUACCUAGUAGUGGGGGAUAACGUUUCGAAAGGGGCGCUAAUACCGCAUACGUUCUGAGGAAGAAAGCAGGGGAUCGCAAGACCUUGCGCUAUUAGAUGAGCUUGCGUCCGAUUAGCUAGUUGGUGGGGUAAAGGCCUACCAAGGCGACGAUCGGUAACUGGUCUGAGAGGAUGAUCAGUCACACUGGAACUGAGACACGGUCCAGACUCCUACGGGAGGCAGCAGUGGGGAAUAUUGGACAAUGGGCGCAAGCCUGAUCCAGCCAUGCCGCGUGAGUGAAGAAGGCCUCGGUUG
RNAcentral lists this ribosomal RNA (393 nucleotides) under uncultured bacterium. RNAcentral describes it as "bacterial SSU rRNA". It matches the Rfam family "Bacterial small subunit ribosomal RNA", at positions 30 to 425 of the family's 1533-position model. The record is from RNAcentral.